GAUGAAGAUUCAUUCUUACACAAAUUCCAUCCCCCUCAGAUUCACUUUUAGAACCUUUGAAUGCAUGUCUGUAUACUCAAAUGACUGGAUGUUUAAGUUGCAAUGGUCAAUUGAAAGAGCGGGACAUGGAAAGGGUAGCAUCUAAUUUGAUUUUAAUUAGUUUGAUAUUCUGGUUACAAGCUUGGGUUGGUAUGUGAUUUGUGAAUCUCCCUGAGUUGCCAGACUGUUAGCUCUGAUAUAGAAAAACUAACAAGCAAAUUUUCUAAUGGAAUUGGUCUCAUGGAAUUGGUCUCAAGGAGGAUGGGAUGUAAAACAAGGUGCUAAUCCAUACAUUCUUCCCUUCAUAUAUAUAUAUAUAU
RNAcentral lists this long non-coding RNA (359 nucleotides) under Physcomitrium patens. Its description in RNAcentral is "long non-coding RNA (PPAT_LNC003611)". Lineage: Eukaryota; Viridiplantae; Streptophyta; Bryopsida; Funariales; Funariaceae. The record is from RNAcentral.